This 253-nucleotide ribosomal RNA is filed under the name uncultured bacterium. RNAcentral's name for it is "partial 16S ribosomal RNA". It matches the Rfam family "Bacterial small subunit ribosomal RNA", at positions 524 to 776 of the family's 1533-position model. The record is from RNAcentral.
UACAGAGGGGGCAAGCGUUGUUCGGAAUUACUGGGCGUAAAGGGCGCGUAGGCGGCCAACUAAGUCAGACGUGAAAUCCCCAGGCUCAACCUGGGAACUGCGUCUGAUACUGGAUGGCUCGAGUUCGGGAGAGGGAAGUGGAAUUCCAGGUGUAGCGGUGAAAUGCGUAGAUAUCGAGAGGAACACCUGCGGCGAAGGCGGGUUGCUGGGCUGACACUGACGCUGAGGCGCGAAAGCUAGGGGAGCGAACGGG